Non-coding RNA from Struthio camelus australis, 12681 nucleotides. The record is from RefSeq and is a predicted model, not a curated record. NCBI's taxonomy places the organism in Eukaryota, Metazoa, Chordata, Aves, Struthioniformes, Struthionidae.
GUUUAAAAACUAAAUUUUAUAAAAAGAAACCCUGAGGCUGUAAUCUUCUUUCAGCUUGUUGUGCUUGUGUUUAGGAUAAGUUUAUGUAAACUGAAGGCAUAUAUGCAGGUUUUUUGAGAUAAGAAUCUACAUUCCAGCAACAAGUAAUUAUACAAUAAACAAUUAACUGCUCUAAUAAAUACAAUGUACAAUGUUUUCAUUGAAAGACAGAUUCAUUUUUGAGAUUGCGGUUGCAUUAACUAUGACCUGGGAGUUUGGGGAAAAAACAUAGCAACCAUCAUCAGAUACUUUGAAUAAUCUCAUGAUAGAUAUGAAUAGAAGCCUUACUGUAGUCAAGUAGCUCUCUUAGAAUUUUGAGAUUCUAUUAACUAACAAGAUUUUUGAGAUACUAGAGCUAAAGGUUAUUUUGUAUCCAAUGUUAAUUUUCUCUUUGUUAUGAAGGCUGUGUCUGCAUCUGUUUUGCAAGAGUAAUCAUUCAGAAUGUUCCACCUCACAUCUACAAGCUAAUGUGUUAGCCUGUCUUGUAGUCUUUGAGCAGACUGUAAGAAAGGGGUUUAUUGCAAGGGAGUAAAGAGGGGGAAAUGAAUCAGUCUCCACCAAAGGACCUGAAUAAAUACACAUUUUAAAUUUUAAAAAUAGUCAUUUUUAAAUCCCCAAAUUUCCCAGGAGUUAAUUUUGAAUAGAAAUCCAUGCACUUUUUGAAUGUGAACUUCUACUAUACAAUGCAAGAGAAGGGAUGAUGCAAAAUUAUUUGAUGUAGUCUGUACCAACCUUUGUGGGUCUUGCACCUCCUUGGGAAGGAUAUUUGCCACAAAGCAUAGCCUAGAACAUCACUGCAAAGCUAAAUGUGCCUCCCUUUUCCUAAAAAUAUAUGAAACGGGGAAAAAAAAAGAUGUUUCUCAAUGUAAGUGAUAUAUUUAGUAUGACUUCUUAGUUUAUAUUUUAAACACAAAUGAGGGGAAAAUCAGCAACACAUACUUUUACGUAUGUAAAUGCUUUAAAAAAAACUUCACUUAAUGGAAAUUUCUUACAGAUGAAAAGAUUGCAAAAGAUCAGCAUUUGUGUCACAAGGAUAAUUCUUGCUAAUAAUACAUGCCCAACUGGAAUUGAGGAUCAGUUAGAAAAGUAUUUUCAGGUGUAGCAUAUGUUUAUUUUUUUAAAUGUAAAGAAGACAUUAUAUGUGCUAAGGUUUAUCUAGCUUUUCUAUUUGUGCAAAUUUGUCUAUUUAAAAAAAGCCUCCACCUUAACUUAAAAAAUGUAUCUUGUAAAAAUAACUUGCAUUUAAAUUAGCUUUAUUAUAUGUCUUGUGCAAAUGUGUCUUGUGUGUUACGUGCAGAACGCAGCUGUAUUUUUGUCUAGAAACGUUAAAAGUUUUAAUAUGCUAGACUGAAAGGUAACCCACCGUAUCAUAUGGUUAUGCAGUCAGUUGCUGGUCACAGUGUUGAACCAUGCAAAAACUUAUGCUCAAUAAGAUAAGCACGUUGAUAUGCCCGCACUGAAUUAAGAUUUGAUGAUUCUCUAAAAGGUAGUUAUUACUGUGAAUAGUUGUUGAAGUGCCAGGUAGUGAGUGCAACUGAUAAAUGCAACAGCUGCUUUUUUGCUUGCUUGUUUUUUAAAGAAUUUUAAUUCCUUCCUUAGUUUGGCAUGCUGACUAUUAUGAGCACUCCUAUGCUAUAAGUAGAUAAAAUGGAAAAUGGAUCCACUGUUAAUAGAUCUCAGACACAGAAAUUUAUUUAGAAGUCUAAAACCUAGUGUCCCUUAUAGGCAAGUGUAGAGGUCGCAGUACUCUUCCUGGCUCAUCAGAUCUGCUCUGCCUCUUCUUGUCAUCUUAAUGAAAAUGAAGCAAAUGCAGUAAUGUUGCCAAUUUUUUUAUUAUUUGGUGACUUCUAUAAAAGUUUCCCAUGAUGUCGUGAUUCCUGGCAUCAAAUGUUCAAUUUUUCCCUUAUGCUGAGUGACUGCCCCCUCAUCCCAGGGGAUCAAAGAAGCCUAAGCUAUGGAGGAGGACAUCCAUCACAUUCAGAAACAGAUCUUCUUCACAGACAGACAUAUACAUCUUCUCAUCAACUUCCUGGAUACUCUGCUACACACCAUCCUACUGGUCUUUCGGGAAUAUUUGAUAGCAGUAUGCACAGCGCUGGAAGUAACACUAAGGAAACUUCAGUAAUGAAUUUUCUUUCUGCAAUUGAGUCUCGUACCGCUCAGGCAGCCUCUUCAGGAUCUACCCUUUUACCGCAAUUCAGGGCUCCUUCCUGGCAGACAGGUAUGCAUUCCUCAACAGCCACAGAACUAUUUGUUACUGGAGCAUUGCCAACCUCUGGAACGUUUCCACCAACAUCUGCUUUAUCAGCUUAUCAGCAUCCCAACACUUUCAGCAGUAGGAACUUUGCUACUACUCCAUCUCUUACUCUUCAAGAUACUACUUUCAGUGCUACAUCAAAUGGUCUCUUAACUACCCAUGAUCCCUUAUUACAAAUAAAAACAUCACAAGGCACUGUUCCAACUGCUUUGACAUUUGAGCGCCUAGGCAGUUCUGUUUUAAGUACAAGUAUACCACCUCAAUCAUCAACAUACCGUUCUGCUCAAGAAUCCGCACCUCAUCUUUUGCAGCCUCAGUUUAGUUUGUUACCUUCAACCCUUGGAGGAGCUCAGCAGGUUUCUCAGGCAUACAGCACAUCUGUCUUUACUGGUUCCACUGCUUCUAUUGACAGAGCACUUCAGCGAGAAUGUAGUGUUAUUAAACACCAUCAGCGGCCUUCAAGUACUCAGUCUGUUCAGGCUCAACUGACUGUUUCACAGCAUUCCUUACACAGCUAUUUAACGAGUACAAGUGGAGUUAAUUUUCAGGAUACAUCUAGGCACUCAGCAUUAUCGUGUAGUCCAGCUGGAGAUGUUACUCAGGUGAGCAAUGGAGGACCACAGCAGAAGACUUCUCAAGUCACAGUGGAACUUGCUCAGUCUUAUACAUCUGCAAUUCCAUCACCUGGUUUUCCAUCUGUUUCCACAGCAAAAGUGAAAAACUGUUCCACAAAGCAGCCUCCAAGGUCAACAAAGACCCCCAAACCUCAAAGUGUAGCUCCUACUGUGCAGACACAAAGCUAUCCCAAAACUGCACAAAACCAGAGUUCUGUAAUUACAGGCCAAGCACAGAUCUAUUCUACAGCACAGCUCCCCAGUCUCUUGUCAGUCAGCCAGUCCCAAAACUAUGUUUCAUCCCAGGCUCAGAAUGUGCCACCUGUCAGUCACUCACAGGAUUUCUCAUCUAGCAAGAUUGAGAAGCUGCCCUCAUUGUAUAAAACAUUGACUUUUUCUGGGCAAUCACAAACUAUUACUUCUGACAGUCAAACACUAAGUUACUCCUCAGAUCAACAGGUAUUGACUUCGGUUCCAAAUGAGAAUUACUCUGGGCAAACGAGAGAACUUUCUUCAGUCAGUCAAUCUCAGAGCUAUUCUUCUAGUCACUCUCAGGGUUUAUCUCCAGUUAGCCAAUCCCAAGUUAGUUUUUCAUCUCAAUCACAAGUUUUAUCAGCUGUUAGUCCUUCAGAUAGCUAUUCGUCAGGGCAGUCUUUAACAUUAACAUCACCUUCUCUUCCCUUUUCUGCCUCUCCUCGGAUACAAACUCUUCCGGCCUCAAGUCCUAAUCAGAACUUUAUUUCUUUGCAUUCUUCUCAGAACUCUCAGACACAAGAAUCCUCCUCUCCACAGUCUCAAAAAUUUCUACCCUCUGUCCAGUCUCCUCCUUUUGCAUCUCCAGCUCAUUCACAGACAAUGCAGAACAAUAGGCCUUCCUCAGAAACAAAAUCAUAUGUUAAAAGGAAGUCUGACUCCAAUUUGUAUGUUUCAUCAAAACAAGAGGAAGAAUUAUCAAUGCAGGAUAUGCAAGCAUUGCAACAGCAGGCUUCUCUUGAAUCUUCUACCCAAAGGCUAACAGAUGAUGAAAUCAGUGCUCAGGAUGCAUCCUACAGAGUCUCAAAAGCAGAUGACAGAUAUUCUCAAAGUGUAAUCAGAAGUAACUCUCGUCUUGAAGAUCAAGUUGUUGGACUUGCUCUUCAAGGAUCAAAAAAAGAUGAAAGAAUGGUUAAUUCUGUGGAACAGCUUUCCCAACAUAUUGGCCAUAUCACCAGUAUAAGCCAUGAUAUAAAAAAGGCAGCUAAUCUAAUGCAAACGACACAAGUAAAUGUGAGUGCUAAAGAACUAAACCAGCAACACACUCUCAUGCAUAAGGUGCAUGACAAUAAAGCUCAAGAACAGCAAGGCCAGGUCAUUAGUACACCACCACAGGUUCAACCUCAUGCUUUGAGACAUAGUCAUCAGCUGUGUUUGCCUAGUGCACAGGUACUUCUGGAGUCUGCUUGUGACUUACAGAUUCUUCAUCAGUCAAUUCUGCAGUCAAGUUUAGGACAAGCAAAGGUAACACCACAAGUGCAAAGAAUACAGAGUCCUCAGCAGGUGGCACAUCCAUUCCUUCAGAUGGAUGGUCAUAUUAUUCAAAGUAACGGGGGCCAUUCUCAGCAGCAGCUUCAUGCUCAGAAUUCAGAAGUAAUGAAAAUGGACAUUUCUGAGUCCUCGAAACCGCUACAGCAACAUUUGACAACAAAAGAUCAUUUUACGCAAACAAAUCAACAUGAUUCAAAAAAUCAGUUUGUUUCUCUUAGUUCAAUAUGUUUCCCAGAAACUAUGCUUCUCAGUGAUGAGAGGAAUAUAUUGUCAAAUGUAGAUGAUAUCUUAGCAGCAACAGCAGCAGCCUGUGGAGUGACUCCAUCUGACUUUGCCAAAUCAGCACCUCAUGAAGAAGAAAUUCAGUCUGUUGAAAAUAGCGAGGAUUCUAAAACACAGUUUCGAGCAAUGGAGGUAAGACAUGUGUCUUCUGGUUUCAGUGCCUCACCUACUUUAGUUGGAAAGCCACCAAGUCUAAAUAAUAUUUCUCUGAACGGAGGCCAAAUUACUAUAAAUCUUACGCCAGUGUCAACAAUACAGACAAAAACUGUGAACCUUGAUCAACAACAUAUUGAAACUUCUGAUCAAAAUGUGCCAACUAGAAUGACCUCUCCCACCCUUGGCCCUGGUCAAGAGGAGCAAGAACAAGGGGUUGUUUCAGUUAAGAAACAAUCUAGCAUCAGUCAUGAAUCUGAAGAAGAUAACGAAGUUCCUGUUGAUGGUACACUGAAUGCAAGAGAGACAGAAUUUGUUUCAAGUGGUAAAAGUCUAAGUGAAGAAAGUGCUACAUCAGAGAAUGAUUUUAAUAUGGGUUGUGAUGAUGGUACAGUAGCAGGUAACCAGUCAAAAGGUCCUUUGCAGCCAACAGCUGUGCCCCAAGGUGGAGAGGGAACCAUUAGCAGAACUGAAGAAGAAUGCCAAGACUUAGCUCAAGGGAAUCUUCAGAAGAAAAAAAGCAAAGGAAAAAGCCAAAACAAAAAUGCUGCAGAAGAUGACAGUGCAAUUCAGAAACAGAUAAAAAGAAGUGGGCAAUGUAAACGUCAAAAUUCAAGAGGAAACGAUUCCUGUUUGACAUAUUCUUCUCCUGUUUCGGAAAGUUGUUAUGAUACUUACCAGCAUCAAGAAAGAAUGAGGCAAAAAAUCAAAGAAGUUGAAGAAAAGCAACCUGAAGUCAAAACAGGAUUUAUUGCAUCUUUUUUAGACUUUCUAAAGUCUGGGCCGAGGCAACAGUUUUCGGCUCCAGCUGUACGAAUGCCCAACAGGACUAGGCGACCAGUUACUCAAAUAGUUCGUGCCCCUUGCCUACAGUCAUCUUCAAAGCCUCAGCCAGCAGCAGCACCUGUAGCUGUGGAAGUUAGUGGAGAAAGUCCAACCAAGAAAGCUGAUGAAGAACUUAAGAAAAAUUUAGAAACAUUGCCUUCAUUUUCUUCUGAUGAAGAUGAUUCUGUGGGAGGUAACCACGAUCUUCAGAAGAGCAUCUCUACUGCAUUGUCAGCUUUGGAUGAUACUUCUGACAGAAAGAAUAAAUCAGAAGCUGAAAAAGUGGCAGUUGUUACUGCUGCUGCUGCCACCACUACUGCUGUAAUAAAGCAGGAACCUCCACAGACAACUGCUGCUGUAGUCAAUGUGCAGGAGAAAAUGAGUUCGGCUGAUUCCCUAAAAGUAGCUCAACAGGAAGCUGUGACUUCAGACCAGUUAGCAAAAAUACAGGCAACUGUUGCAAUAGAAGGAUGUACUGAUGAGGAGAAUACGGACAGUGGAGGAGAGGGCAUGUACAGAGAACGUGAUGAAUUUGUAGUGAAGAUUGAAGAUAUAGAUACACUAAAGGUUGCUUUACAAACAGGAAAAGAGCCUCCAGCUAUUUGGAAAGUCCAGAAGGCUUUGUUGCAAAAGUUUGUUCCUGAAGUGCGAGAUGGACAGAGAGAGUUUGCUGCUACUAACAGUUAUCUUGGAUAUUUUGGGGAUGCAAAAACAAAAUACAAACGGGUGUAUGUGAAGUUCAUUGAAAAUGCAAACAAAAAGGAAUAUGUCAGAGUAUGUUCAAAAAAACCACGAAGCAAGCCUGUACAGUCAGCAAGGACUAUUCAUUGCAAGCCUAGCAGUAGUAACAACAAAACCCCUGAUCCUCCAACACCAAAACCAACAGCAACAAAAGUCUCUUCUGUGAAACCCAAAGCUAAGCAGCCGAAGGUAAAGGCUGAACCACCACCAAAGAAAAGGAAGAAAUGGAAAGAGGAAUUUUCGUCUUCCCAGUCUGAUUCUUCUCCUGAGGCCCAGAGUGAUGAGGAUGAGUUUAUACCUCCAGCUCCCUUUGUUACUCGCUUUUUGAAUACGAGAGCUAUGAAAGAGACUUUUAAGAGCUAUAUGGAAUUGCUUGUUAGCAUUGCCUUGGAUCCAGACACGAUGCAAGCCUUGGAAAAGAGCAAUGAUGAGCUACUUUUGCCUCACAUGAGAAAAAUUGAUGGCAUGCUGAAUGACAACAGGAAAAGGCUGCUUACCAAAUUACGCUUGGAUCAUACUUUCAAGAACGCUUUGGAAAACUUUCCUGAGCUGACAGUAAUCACUCGGGAUUCUAAGACAAAAACUGGGGGAACGUCUGUGUCCAAGAUCAAAAUGAAUGGUAAAGCUUACAACAAGAAAACGCUGAGGGUUUCUAAAUCAACCACUAAGUUAGCACAGGAAUUUACUGUAGAUCCAGACAAAAUACAGUUGUAUUCUUUGUAUCACUCACUCCAUCAUUACAAAUAUCAUAUAUAUCUGACAUGUAAAGAGGAGAUUUCUUCUGUUCAGAAAAAGAGUGCAGAUCUAGGACAGGAAGAGAUUGUGCAGCUGUGCAUGAAAAAUAUAAAAUGGGUGGAGGAUCUUUUUGAAAAGUUUGGUGAACUUCUGAAUCGUGUCCAGCAGAAAUGCUCAUAACAAAUAUGUAUCCCAGAUUUCACAUUUUUCUACGGCACUAACCUGAGGGAACAGAAAGCUCAGAGAAAGGCUCUGAUUUCUUUCACAAUGCCAGACUGCGUUCUUGUUCAUAGGCAUUUUUAUUCCUCUGUAUGGAACUUUGUGCCUUGGCUCUUGCUAAGGAAAAGCAAUGCUGCCAAGGAAAUCAGUCCUUUGGAGAUGGAACUAAACAUAAACCUUACCACGUUUUUAACCUGAAGAAUUAUUUUCUAUUUUGUAAACUAUUGGAUAACUUAGUUUUAUUUUCAGAAAUGUUUUUGACAAAUGAUAAAGCAUGCACUACAUAUACUUUUUUCUUUAUCGCUAAAAAGAUAACAACACUUAAAAUACUACAGAUUUUUUUCCAUCUCUGCAACAGGAAAAAGUCAGCAUUGGGGUGAACUAAUUUUCACAUGUGUCUGGCCACCAAAUUUAGAGUAUUGUACAUUUCAUGAACAGAGCCGGAGUGACAUCAGUUCCUGCAUACAUAUAUUGCUAUCAUAAAAAAAAAAAACAGUAAUGUCAUUAUGCUUUAUGGACUCCUUUUACUAUUGUCAUGUUCAGGAGACUGAACAUGGAGUUGGUGCAAUCCUAUGACUGCUUUUUGUGUCAAAUUAUAUUGUAAUGAAAGACAAUGACCUUAACUAUUUUCCCUGUUUUGAAGAAAAAAAAAAUAUUUUCCUUUAUACUGUGUUUUUUUUCUGUUGGAAAAAAAAAUUUCAAUUGUACAUUUUAUCUCACUAAUAGUUGUAUUUUUCACAGAGAAAAUAUUGUGGUUAAAAUUGUUUCAUGUAUCUUUGUAAUACACUUUCCAUUGUUUUCAGUAAAUCCUAAUCAUUUAUAUGUUGAUUUCAUAUUGUAAGCUAUAUAUCUCGAGGUAACACGUUGUUUAUACAGGUUUGCUUCAGUGUUAACCAGAAUAAUGCAUAGUAGACUAGUUUUGCUUUAAGUGUAGUUGUGUUAGACACUGCAAUUAUUUUCCGAUACGUGAAAAUAAAUUUCUUACUAAACUAGCACUUGAUUAACCGAGAGUUUAAAUGAGGAGCUACUACACUUUAUCUUCGUCAACAAAGAUUGUUGAUUGGAUAGACUAUAUGCAGUGUUAAACACAGCUUACAUAGUUGUUUGUAGAACUGGCAGUUGCAGAGCUGUUCUCUUCUUGGUGCCUUUCAAGUCUUCAAACAUCUUUCUGUAGCUUUUUUUUCCUCCAGUUUAUUAACAGUUAGUAGUGCCACUAGUCACACUCAGACAAUGAAUGUAAUGGGCUCUAAUCCAGAGAACAUUUUCUCUAAAUUUGCAAACAGAAUGCCUUACUGAGUCAUUCAGAAUGGAGAUGUAAUCUACUGGGGUCCUAAGGGGAAGAAAAAAAAAAAAAAAGCAUGUUCUUUCUUCAGAUAAUGUAGACAAAAAAUCAUUCCUUUAUCCUUUCACUGCCACUUAGUGCCUUAAUUUCAGCCAAGAAAGCAGGGUUCACUAUUCAUUGGCCAAAUGAAAUAAUCUUCGUUGCCAUGUGACCUAUUUUCCCGUUUUCUGUUUUGAUUGUAUUUAGUUGUUAAAUAUUCAUUAGACCGUAGAACUUUGAAACGUUUAAUGAAUAGAUGUGAUAAUGAAAUGAUUUGAUCUUCAGUAAUAAAAUAGAGAUUUGAAAAUUAAAGUAUGUACAGAAUUUUAGCCAAUUAGUUUUAGAACCUUCUAGUAUGUUUACCAUAUUUCCAAAGGUUUUCAUCUUUUAAAAGCAAUAAUUCUUUAAAAUUUAUACGCAGACUGCAGUGAACAGACUGAGUCAAGAACAGAAAUGGGUAUGUGCCCCUGCCUUUUUUUUAAAGCCUCUUCAUAGUGUUUUUGCUUUAAAAAGAGAAUUAACUGUCAUAUUAAUAGAUACUUUGUGCUACUGCUACAUCUACUAUAAUCAAGGGGAGUGAUAUGGGUUUUGAUUUAGGAAGAGUGUGCAGAAUGUUGUACAAAUCAUGAAGCUAAUUCAUUUUAACAGUGAAAAGAAAGGUAGAUGUAGGGUGGAAGAGUUGCCAUUGUUUCAGUCAUUCUCUGUUAAAUCUGGUAGGAGCUAAAGUUUGUGUGGUGAACCAAGCGGCAAAGUUACCAGCAUCGAUAAUGAUCAGUUAAAUUCAUUUUAAUGUGACUGUGCACACUGGAGGCAUAAUAGAAAUGUGCCUUGUGUACUAUUUGAUCUCUAGUAGGGGUUCCAAACUUGAGUAUAUUCUCUAACUGGCUGGGGUGGUUGGCAGCAGUUCCUGGCUGUGUGGAUUCAUGAGGGGUGUUUAAUUGCUCAGGCAGAGUUCAGUUGUCACAUUACAGUGGUGUGCACAACACAGUUUGGGAGCUCCUAAUCAGUAGUUUUAGAAAUGAUUAGGAUGCAGACUGAGCAAAGUUGGCUCCUUGAUUGUACAGUAAAGAACUCACUAGACUUUGUCUCCCCCUUCCUAAUAUGACUGUGAAGUAACUCAUUAAGAGAGGUUUAUAUGCUUUCAAAAUGAUUUAUAUGCCGCUACUUUAUGCUUCCUGUAGAUUUUUGAAUCUAGAAGUAGCUUUAGGAAGCUACGUGUUUUAAACCAAGCCCUUAGAUACUGAAAAAGAGAUGAGAAGUUUUUGGAGUAGUUGGUUCACAUUAAAAAGCCGGUAACUUUAGCAACAACCAUCUUAAAAAAAAAAAAAAAAUGGCCAGGAUGCUCUGCACUGCCUAGAAGGUGACCUGGCUUAUUUUUGACUGUUUUAUUCCUAAGGCCAGCGAAACAAGCACUGUGCCUAUAAAAGACAGGAAAAGCCUAUCCUGAAUGAAAGUAACCCCAGACUAUUACAGAUUAUUAUAAUAGAGCUUCCAUCUUUGUGUUGGGCUACACAUAUGGUGGCUGGAUUACUAUUUUACCAAAUUAGGAUGAAGUGAAAAAUGGAACUCUCAAGUAUGUGAAGGAUCAUAAAGUAAAAUAAAGCUUUGUUAGUGGGAUUGAAGAAGAUUUUUAUACUGAAGCAAACUUAGAAAAAAACUCAAUGUACAAAUUACUUUUCACACAAAUAUUUUGCUUUAUUUUGUUGCAUUUUAGAUAAUUAAUUCUGCACCCACACCUCAGUCUUCUUUCUUUUCUGAAGUAACAGUGAGGUCCUCAUCCCUUAACAUCUGCUGACAGUGGAAAUUGAGCACUCAUUUGACUGCAAGAGAAGAUGCACUAGGAAGGAACAAAACCCUCCUGAGACUAUGAAUUAGCAAAUUAGAAAUUAAUGAAACUAACAGCAUGAUGAAAUAUUUGGUUUUUAAUUCCACCAUUUUUUCCUUUAAUAUGGCAUCCCUGUUUACAUCAGGUUUGUUUUUAUUGAAAUACAGUAUUUCUCUUAAAGGCAGGUUUUCUUUGAGAUGCUGUUUCCAAAGUUUUGCUAGAAAAGAAUCAGAGACAAAAUUGGAUUGAAAAACUGUCUCUGAAAAUGGCUAAGGAGUUUAGGGUCUCUAAAGUUAUAUGACGUGUAUCUUAUUCAUAUAUUGUCUAAAUGGAAUACUACUUUUUAAAAAAGCAAAUCUUACAAGCUGUCUUCCAAGUAAAUGCUUUCCAUAGGGGAAAUAUAUUUUAAAUAUUAUUUAAAUAUUUACUACUAUUUAAAACAAUUUUAAAACAGAAAAGCUAAAUCUAUGGUCAUAAAAUGUCAGUGUGUCAUCAGUCAUUUUCUGUUUUGUUGCCAACACUUGACAUUUGGUCUCUCUUACCCUGUUAGACACCUGUGCAUUACACAAUGCGCAUUCUGCCAUAUCUUAUUGUUUAAGCUAAUAUUAACAUGUCAUUGUUAACAAAUGCAUGUUUUCUGCGUAUCUCCUCUGCGUAUGGCAAAAAUGAGGCUAGGGCUAAUGAGAGACACUUUAUGCAUUCUUAGUCCAGAUUUUCAGGUGGUCCAUUAUACAAUGUAUGGAAAUGUGAAAAAGGACACAGUUUUGUACCGUUCAUGAUGUUAUUAACUAAACCCAUUAAAGUGAAAACAGUUUUUAAACAAAAACCUUAUAAUGCUCAGUGAUUUAUUAUUAAAAUAUUAAGUCUUGAAAAGCUAGAUUGUUGGAAAAAAGUGGCUUUUUAGACAACAUUUUCUGAUCUUUUCAAUAUGAAGAAAUACAAUUCUAGUUCUUUUUCAUUAUAUUGUAUGAAUUCAGGAACAUGUCCCAUUUAUCUGAUUUUUUUACAUGUAUAGUUCUAAAUGUUCUUGAACUCAUUUUCACUAUAUAUCUGCCAGUUCUGAAAUUGAUAUGACAAAUGAGGAGCCAAACAAUUGCGAUAAAUGAGAGGCUGUCUUCUUCUGUGAUUCAGAUGUUUUUAGAUACGCUGUUUUCUUUUGUUCUCUUUGUUCUCUGAGUAGAAUAUCUCCAUGUACCUAUGGGAAAAAUGGUGCUAAAGGCUGAGAUUUUUUUCAAUUGCAGUAACUUAUUCCAGAUAUUUUCUUAGAAAUUUUGUUCCAACACACACAGGGCUGAAAUCCCACAUCCUUCAUUUCUUUGAUUAUUUAUUAUUUCUUUGAUCUUAGCCUUAAGAUAUAUGGUGGCCCUUCUCUGAGCCACUUGCUUACAGAAAAAGGUGAAUCUGGAGAGCUGGAAUAUUUUUGUAAUGGUCCUGUGUAUAAGAGCUGCUUCCCAAACCAAGAUGAGUAAAAGACUAGCCAUUUGCCCAUGGAGUUAUUGUGUUGUCUUUCCCAAAGAGCACUUUGGGAAAUAGUCAGCACAGAGAAUGUCCUUUUGCAAUGUGGAAGCUGAACUUUUUUUAAUGCUGCAUUCUGAUUUGCUUUAUAAUUUAGGAAGGUUCUUUCUUUCUUUAAAAAAAAAGAGAAAAAAAAAAAAAGAAAUGCAAGAAGCCGAAAGCAUACAGCCUCUUAAAGGAGAGGAACAGCUCCUACAGUGAGUAAUCUGUUGGUAAAUAUCUUAGAGUCAAAGUAACUUAUUCUGCAUAGGUAUUUGCCUCUCUUGUAGAAGCCUAACAAAUCUUUGCUUCAUUUCCAGAGAAUUAAAGAACAGAAAACUUUCUUAAAACUCCUCAUAAUUUGAUCUCUUGUAAAAGCAUAAUGGUGAAUACAGAGAAUGAGCUAUAUGUAAAGAAGCGGAAGUAAAAGGGAAAAAGUAGGCAAAAGGAUCCAUUUUUACCAGCCAACAUACCAAGGGAUAGAGGGAAGCAGCAAUAGCAGCAGUGCCACACGGAUAGGACUGAAGAGCAGUUAAGGCCCUUCAUUUGGAGAAAAACAGAUCCAGAAUGAGGUCUCCUUCAUUUGUGCCCAGAAUGCCUGGAAAUUACAGGUUCUCUCUCAUCCAAAUACUGGGUGGCUGCCCAGCUUCCA